RNAcentral lists this ribosomal RNA (2902 nucleotides) under Escherichia coli. Its description in RNAcentral is "23S ribosomal RNA". It matches the Rfam family "Bacterial large subunit ribosomal RNA". Lineage: Bacteria; Pseudomonadati; Pseudomonadota; Gammaproteobacteria; Enterobacterales; Enterobacteriaceae. The record is from RNAcentral.
UUAAGCGACUAAGCGUACACGGUGGAUGCCCUGGCAGUCAGAGGCGAUGAAGGACGUGCUAAUCUGCGAUAAGCGUCGGUAAGGUGAUAUGAACCGUUAUAACCGGCGAUUUCCGAAUGGGGAAACCCAGUGUGAUUCGUCACACUAUCAUUAACUGAAUCCAUAGGUUAAUGAGGCGAACCGGGGGAACUGAAACAUCUAAGUACCCCGAGGAAAAGAAAUCAACCGAGAUUCCCCCAGUAGCGGCGAGCGAACGGGGAGCAGCCCAGAGCCUGAAUCAGUGUGUGUGUUAGUGGAAGCGUCUGGAAAGGCGCGCGAUACAGGGUGACAGCCCCGUACACAAAAAUGCACAUAUUGUGAGCUCGAUGAGUAGGGCGGGACACGUGGUAUCCUGUCUGAAUAUGGGGGGACCAUCCUCCAAGGCUAAAUACUCCUGACUGACCGAUAGUGAACCAGUACCGUGAGGGAAAGGCGAAAAGAACCCCGGCGAGGGGAGUGAAAAAGAACCUGAAACCGUGUACGUACAAGCAGUGGGAGCACGCUUAGGCGUGUGACUGCGUACCUUUUGUAUAAUGGGUCAGCGACUUAUAUUCUGUAGCAAGGUUAACCGAAUAGGGGAGCCGAAGGGAAACCGAGUCUUAACUGGGCGUUAAGUUGCAGGGUAUAGACCCGAAACCCGGUGAUCUAGCCAUGGGCAGGUUGAAGGUUGGGUAACACUAACUGGAGGACCGAACCGACUAAUGUUGAAAAAUUAGCGGAUGACUUGUGGCUGGGGGUGAAAGGCCAAUCAAACCGGGAGAUAGCUGGUUCUCCCCGAAAGCUAUUUAGGUAGCGCCUCGUGAAUUCAUCUCCGGGGGUAGAGCACUGUUUCGGCAAGGGGGUCAUCCCGACUUACCAACCCGAUGCAAACUGCGAAUACCGGAGAAUGUUAUCACGGGAGACACACGGCGGGUGCUAACGUCCGUCGUGAAGAGGGAAACAACCCAGACCGCCAGCUAAGGUCCCAAAGUCAUGGUUAAGUGGGAAACGAUGUGGGAAGGCCCAGACAGCCAGGAUGUUGGCUUAGAAGCAGCCAUCAUUUAAAGAAAGCGUAAUAGCUCACUGGUCGAGUCGGCCUGCGCGGAAGAUGUAACGGGGCUAAACCAUGCACCGAAGCUGCGGCAGCGACGCUGAUGCGUUGUUGGGUAGGGGAGCGUUCUGUAAGCCUGCGAAGGUGUGCUGUGAGGCAUGCUGGAGGUAUCAGAAGUGCGAAUGCUGACAUAAGUAACGAUAAAGCGGGUGAAAAGCCCGCUCGCCGGAAGACCAAGGGUUCCUGUCCAACGUUAAUCGGGGCAGGGUGAGUCGACCCCUAAGGCGAGGCCGAAAGGCGUAGUCGAUGGGAAACAGGUUAAUAUUCCUGUACUUGGUGUUACUGCGAAGGGGGGACGGAGAAGGCUAUGUUGGCCGGGCGACGGUUGUCCCGGUUUAAGCGUGUAGGCUGGUUUUCCAGGCAAAUCCGGAAAAUCAAGGCUGAGGCGUGAUGACGAGGCACUACGGUGCUGAAGCAACAAAUGCCCUGCUUCCAGGAAAAGCCUCUAAGCAUCAGGUAACAUCAAAUCGUACCCCAAACCGACACAGGUGGUCAGGUAGAGAAUACCAAGGCGCUUGAGAGAACUCGGGUGAAGGAACUAGGCAAAAUGGUGCCGUAACUUCGGGAGAAGGCACGCUGAUAUGUAGGUGAAGCGACUUGCUCGUGGAGCUGAAAUCAGUCGAAGAUACCAGCUGGCUGCAACUGUUUAUUAAAAACACAGCACUGUGCAAACACGAAAGUGGACGUAUACGGUGUGACGCCUGCCCGGUGCCGGAAGGUUAAUUGAUGGGGUCAGCGCAAGCGAAGCUCUUGAUCGAAGCCCCGGUAAACGGCGGCCGUAACUAUAACGGUCCUAAGGUAGCGAAAUUCCUUGUCGGGUAAGUUCCGACCUGCACGAAUGGCGUAAUGAUGGCCAGGCUGUCUCCACCCGAGACUCAGUGAAAUUGAACUCGCUGUGAAGAUGCAGUGUACCCGCGGCAAGACGGAAAGACCCCGUGAACCUUUACUAUAGCUUGACACUGAACAUUGAGCCUUGAUGUGUAGGAUAGGUGGGAGGCUUUGAAGUGUGGACGCCAGUCUGCAUGGAGCCGACCUUGAAAUACCACCCUUUAAUGUUUGAUGUUCUAACGUGGACCCGUGAUCCGGGUUGCGGACAGUGUCUGGUGGGUAGUUUGACUGGGGCGGUCUCCUCCUAAAGAGUAACGGAGGAGCACGAAGGUUGGCUAAUCCUGGUCGGACAUCAGGAGGUUAGUGCAAUGGCAUAAGCCAGCUUGACUGCGAGCGUGACGGCGCGAGCAGGUGCGAAAGCAGGUCAUAGUGAUCCGGUGGUUCUGAAUGGAAGGGCCAUCGCUCAACGGAUAAAAGGUACUCCGGGGAUAACAGGCUGAUACCGCCCAAGAGUUCAUAUCGACGGCGGUGUUUGGCACCUCGAUGUCGGCUCAUCACAUCCUGGGGCUGAAGUAGGUCCCAAGGGUAUGGCUGUUCGCCAUUUAAAGUGGUACGCGAGCUGGGUUUAGAACGUCGUGAGACAGUUCGGUCCCUAUCUGCCGUGGGCGCUGGAGAACUGAGGGGGGCUGCUCCUAGUACGAGAGGACCGGAGUGGACGCAUCACUGGUGUUCGGGUUGUCAUGCCAAUGGCACUGCCCGGUAGCUAAAUGCGGAAGAGAUAAGUGCUGAAAGCAUCUAAGCACGAAACUUGCCCCGAGAUGAGUUCUCCCUGACUCCUUGAGAGUCCUGAAGGAACGUUGAAGACGACGACGUUGAUAGGCCGGGUGUGUAAGCGCAGCGAUGCGUUGAGCUAACCGGUACUAAUGAACCGUGAGGCUUAACCUU